ACGAGUUUGUUCGGUGAUUCGAACUUCUCCCACCCAUUGAUACAACACUUGUUGCUUCGGCGAGUCGCUUCAGUGCCACCUGUAAUGGGUGUGUACUCGCCGAAGGUUUUAAACACGAAUCUUUGUAGUCUGUUUUUAAAAUGAAAAUUUAAUGA
This 155-nucleotide unclassified non-coding RNA is filed under the name uncultured fungus. Its description in RNAcentral is "sequence contains ITS1, 5.8S rRNA gene". Lineage: Eukaryota; Fungi. The record is from RNAcentral.